RNAcentral lists this ribosomal RNA (863 nucleotides) under Cassava frogskin disease phytoplasma. RNAcentral describes it as "partial 16S ribosomal RNA". The record is from RNAcentral. Lineage: Bacteria; Bacillati; Mycoplasmatota; Mollicutes; Acholeplasmatales; Acholeplasmataceae.
CCCCCUUUUUGAGGGAACUGCCAUGAAUUACUUAUUCGGGACCGAUUAAUACACGGUCGUCGGCGCCAUUAUGUAUUCCCCGCUCGCAAUAGGCCUUAAUAACCCGCAUUUCCCACGCAUCCGCCAAAUUAUUCAGAUAUCAAAUUAAAGUCGCGAAUUGCGACAACGCGAUAUCUUUGACAAAAUGAUCUCACUCAAUCUCCGUUCGCCUUAAGGUACACAUCGCCAUUUUACGCAUUUAUAUACCUCCUUGUGGUCUCCGCAUCCGCCGAACGACCCUGAAAUGACUGCGACUCCGUGCUUUCGCACCCCUCGUUUGUCCUAAUCUAUGGGACCAUCAGGUGCGGCAUUUGCUACUCAUGAUUCACAGCCCAUUUUGGCCAUGACUUCAAUUGUGUAAUUCAUGAGGCGGACUCAUCAUGCAUGCGUUCAUACUUUGAAUUUCCUUAACUGCCCUGAGGCGUGUUCGCCACCUAGUACAACAAAUUAAGCUUCUAUGUGCUUUUUGGAAUGGUCCAGAACUGUAAAAGAACGCUUCAAUAUCUUUAUAUUACCUCCAAUAGUCCUUUUGUCCACCACGUACCAACAGCAGUCGAGCACAGCACUCUACAAUCCAAUUCAGGAUUUUGCUCGCGUUGGGAACAGCAAUUAACGGUCGUACAUUACUACCCCUGAAAUUGCUCUGACGGUUACUUUUUAACCUCCUUCCACCCCUAAUGCAGUUUAGUAGUACGGGGAAUACUAGACCCGAUGUUUGCACUAUGUUACCAACUAUGUUUCUCAUCGACUUUGCGCUCAAGAAUCGGUUAGAGUGUUUUAGUUAGAGUCAAAGCCUUUGUUUAAAAAGGGGGAGAAUUAAAAAU